AGCAGUGAGGAAUAUUGGUCAAUGGACGCAAGUCUGAACCAGCCAUGUCGCGUGCAGGAAGACUGCCCUAUGGGUUGUAAACUGCUUUUAUACGGGAAUAAUUUCGCUACGUGUAGUGAGUUGCAUGUACCGUAUGAAUAAGCACCGGCUAACUCCGUGCCAGCAGCCGCGGUAAUACGGAGGGUGCAAGCGUUAUCCGGAUUUAUUGGGUUUAAAGGGUGCGUAGGUGGAAUUAUAAGUCAGUGGUGAAAGUUUGCGGCUCAACCGUAAAAUUGCCAUUGAAACUGUAGUUCUUGAGAAUAUUCGAAGUAGGCGGAAUGAGUAAUGUAGCGGUGAAAUGCAUAGAUAUUACUCAGAACACCGAUUGCGUAGGCAGCUUACUAGGAUAUUUCUGACACUGAUGCACGAAAGCGUGGGUAGCGAACAGGAUUGGAUACCCUGGUAGUCCACGCCGUAAACGAUGCAUACUCGUUGUUGGCAAAUUAUAUUGUCAGUGACCAAGCGAAAGUAUUAAGUAUGCCACCUGGGGAGUACGUCGGCAACGAUGAAACUCAAAGGAAUUGACGGGGGCCCGCACAAGCGGAGGAACAUGUGGUUUAAUUCGAUGAUACGCGAGGAACCUUACCUGGGCUUAAAUGGAGACUGCAUAGGGCAGAGAUGCCCUUUUCUUCGGACUGUUUUCAAGGGUGCUGCAUGGU
This 698-nucleotide ribosomal RNA is filed under the name uncultured bacterium. RNAcentral describes it as "bacterial SSU rRNA". It matches the Rfam family "Bacterial small subunit ribosomal RNA", at positions 350 to 1049 of the family's 1533-position model. The record is from RNAcentral.